AGUUCAAUGCUGGCUGUAUCGUAGCCUAUGAAAUUUAUCUGAGGCGCGAUUAUUGCUGGUUGAAACUUGCUGCUGCUGCGGCGACUCGGUAACGCAUAUAAACUCUUUUUAUUAAGAGUUAAUUUGCUGAACAUUAUUAAUUGU
Molecule: small nuclear RNA, 144 nt
Organism: Polyodon spathula (Mississippi paddlefish)
Lineage: Eukaryota; Metazoa; Chordata; Actinopteri; Acipenseriformes; Polyodontidae
Product: U4 spliceosomal RNA
Exons: 1
Source: RefSeq, a predicted model, not a curated record